AUUGAACGUUGGCGGCAUGCCUUACACAUGCAAGUCGAACGGCAGCACGGAGCUUGCUCUGGUGGCGAGUGGCGAACGGGUGAGUAAUAUAUCGGAACGUACCCUAGAGUGGGGGAUAACGUAGCGAAAGUUACGCUAAUACCGCAUACGAUCUAAGGAUGAAAGUGGGGGAUCGCAAGACCUCAUGCUCGUGGAGCGGCCGAUAUCUGAUUAGCUAGUUGGUAGGGUAAAAGCCUACCAAGGCAUCGAUCAGUAGCUGGUCUGAGAGGACGACCAGCCACACUGGAACUGAGACACGGUCCAGACUCCUACGGGAGGCAGCAGUGGGGAAUUUUGGACAAUGGGCGAAAGCCUGAUCCAGCAAUGCCGCGUGAGUGAAGAAGGCCUUCGGGUUGUAAAGCUCUUUUGUCAGGGAAGAAACGGUGGGAGCUAAUAUCUCUUGCUAAUGACGGUACCUGAAGAAUAAGCACCGGCUAACUACGUGCCAGCAGCCGCGGUAAUACGUAGGGUGCAAGCGUUAAUCGGAAUUACUGGGCGUAAAGCGUGCGCAGGCGGUUUUGUAAGUCUGAUGUGAAAUCCCCGGGCUCAACCUGGGAAUUGCAUUGGAGACUGCAAGGCUAGAAUCUGGCAGAGGGGGGUAGAAUUCCACGUGUAGCAGUGAAAUGCGUAGAUAUGUGGAGGAACACCGAUGGCGAAGGCAGCCCCCUGGGUCAAGAUUGACGCUCAUGCACGAAAGCGUGGGGAGCAAACAGGAUUAGAUACCCUGGUAGUCCACGCCCUAAACGAUGUCUACUAGUUGUCGGGUCUUAAUUGACUUGGUAACGCAGCUAACGCGUGAAGUAGACCGCCUGGGGAGUACGGUCGCAAGAUUAAAACUCAAAGGAAUUGACGGGGACCCGCACAAGCGGUGGAUGAUGUGGAUUAAUUCGAUGCAACGCGAAAAACCUUACCUACCCUUGACAUGGCUGGAAUCCUUGAGAGAUCAGGGAGUGCUCGAAAGAGAACCAGUACACAGGUGCUGCAUGGCUGUCGUCAGCUCGUGUCGUGAGAUGUUGGGUUAAGUCCCGCAACGAGCGCAACCCUUGUCAUUAGUUGCUACGAAAGGGCACUCUAAUGAGACUGCCGGUGACAAACCGGAGGAAGGUGGGGAUGACGUCAAGUCCUCAUGGCCCUUAUGGGUAGGGCUUCACACGUCAUACAAUGGUACAUACAGAGCGCCGCCAACCCGCGAGGGGGAGCUAAUCGCAGAAAGUGUAUCGUAGUCCGGAUUGUAGUCUGCAACUCGACUGCAUGAAGUUGGAAUCGCUAGUAAUCGCGGAUCAGCAUGUCGCGGUGAAUACGUUCCCGGGUCU
RNAcentral lists this ribosomal RNA (1352 nucleotides) under uncultured bacterium. Its description in RNAcentral is "bacterial SSU rRNA". It matches the Rfam family "Bacterial small subunit ribosomal RNA", at positions 28 to 1381 of the family's 1533-position model. The record is from RNAcentral.